CCUACGGGAGGCAGCAGUGGGGAAUAUUGGACAAUGGGCGCAAGCCUGAUCCAGCCAUGCCGCGUGUGUGAAGAAGGCCUUCGGGUUGUAAAGCACUUUUAUCCGGAAAGAAAAGCUUUGGGUUAAUACCCUGAAGUCAUGACGGUACCGGAAGAAUAAGCACCGGCUAACUUCGUACCAGCAGCCGCGGUAAUACGAAGGGUGCAAGCGUUACUCGGAAUUACUGGGCGUAAAGCGUGCGUAGGUGGUUUGUUAAGUCUGAUGUGAAAGCCCUAGGCUCAACCUGGGAAUUGCAUUGGAUACUGGCAGGCUAGAGUGCGGUAGAGGAUAGUGGAAUUCCCGGUGUAGCAGUGAAAUGCGUAGAGAUCGGGAGGAACAUCUGUGGCGAAGGCGACUAUCUGGGCCAGCACUGACACUGAGGCACGAAAGCGUGGGGAGCAAACAGGAUUAGAUACCCUGGUAGUCCACGCCCUAAACGAUGCGAACUGGAUGUUGGGUGCAACUAGGCACUCAGUAUCGAAGCUAACGCGUUAAGUUCGCCGCCUGGGGAGUCGGUCGCAAGCUGAAACUCAAAGAUUGACGGCNGAGAGAGCGACGACGACGACGAGGGAGGAGG
Molecule: ribosomal RNA, 616 nt
Filed under: uncultured bacterium
Lineage: Bacteria
Description: bacterial SSU rRNA
Rfam family: Bacterial small subunit ribosomal RNA
Source: RNAcentral